This 485-nucleotide ribosomal RNA is filed under the name uncultured bacterium. Its description in RNAcentral is "partial 16S ribosomal RNA". It matches the Rfam family "Bacterial small subunit ribosomal RNA", at positions 28 to 507 of the family's 1533-position model. The record is from RNAcentral.
GAUGAACGCUGGCGGCGUGCUUAACACAUGCAAGUCGAACGGGAUCCCAGGGGUGCUUGCACUUUUUGGUGAGAGUGGCGAACGGGUGAGUAACACGUGAGUAACCUGUCCUUUUCUGUGGGAUAAGCAUUCGAAAGGGUGUUUAAUACCUUAUGUUCUGUCUGCCUCGCAUGGGGUGGGUGGGAAAGGCUUUGGCCGGAUUUGGGUGGGCUCGCGGUCUAUCAGCUUGUUGGUGGGGUGAUGGCUUACCAAGGCUUUGACGGGUAGCCGGCCUGAGAGGGUGGUCGGUCACAUUGGGACUGAGAUACGGCCCAGACUCCUGCGGGAGGCAGCAGUGGGGGAUAUUGCACAAUGGGCGAAAGCCUGAUGCAGCGACGCCGCGUGGGGGAUGAAGGCCUUCGGGUUGUAAACUUCUUUUGCUCUGAACAAGGCAUGCCAGUGGGUGUGUUGAGUGUAGGGGUUGAUUAGCGCCGGCUAACUACGUG